UCCAUGGUGGUUCAGUGGUUAAGAAUUCCGUGUUGUCACUGAAGAAGCUCAGGUCACUGCUGUGGCUCAGGUUCGAUUCCUGGCCCUGGAA
This 91-nucleotide transfer RNA is filed under the name Sus scrofa (pig). It matches the Rfam family "tRNA". From Rfam's summary of the family: Transfer RNA (tRNA) molecules are approximately 80 nucleotides in length. Their secondary structure includes four short double-helical elements and three loops (D, anti-codon, and T loops). Further hydrogen bonds mediate the characteristic L-shaped molecular structure. tRNAs have two regions of fundamental functional importance: the anti-codon, which is responsible for specific mRNA codon recognition, and the 3' end, to which the tRNAs corresponding amino acid is attached (by aminoacyl-tRNA synthetases). tRNAs cope with the degeneracy of the genetic code in two manners: having more than one tRNA (with a specific anti-codon) for a particular amino acid; and 'wobble' base-pairing, i.e. permitting non-standard base-pairing at the 3rd anti-codon position. Lineage: Eukaryota; Metazoa; Chordata; Mammalia; Artiodactyla; Suidae. The record is from Rfam by way of RNAcentral.